Molecule: long non-coding RNA, 1002 nt
Filed under: Homo sapiens (human)
Lineage: Eukaryota; Metazoa; Chordata; Mammalia; Primates; Hominidae
Description: HSALNT0403716
Source: RNAcentral
GAAAUUUCUAGGGAAAGGGUGGUAACUUCUGGAUUGUCAGGUUGUUGCCAUGGAAAGAGACAGUAACGUCCAAGUGUUGCCAUGGCAAUGGUAAACUGACAUGGCACCCUGGUGGGUGUGUCCAUGGAAAGCUGCUUUAGCCUUGGCCCUGUGUAAGCUAGUCCUCCAUUUGGUCCCUUGUGAAAUCUCCACCUCCAGAGUUGAGUCUGGCCUUUUACCUCAAAUGUACACAAAUGAUGAUGACCUUACAUUAUUAAAAACAGUAGCAACAACAAAAAAACAAACAAAAACCAAACAAAAGCGAAACUCAUUAACAACCAGAGCCUGUCAAACAGUAGGUGAUAAAGAAUAUAACUGAAAAGCUACCAACGAAAUGAAGAUUAUGAGAAAGUUGAAAUUACCUUGAACCUACUCUCAUAUAUUCUUGGUGUUUGGGACUGCUACAAAAUGUAAGGAAGCAUCAUAAAUCUAGAAGAAGGUUCAACUUAACGACAGAAGCCUGAAUGUGCCAGUAGUUCCUCCCUUUAAGAGAUGGAGUCUGUUUCUCUGCCUUAAGUUGACCUUUGGACUUAUUUUGGUCAAUAGAAUGCAGUGAAAGUAACCAUGUGCUGAAUCUAAGGCGGACGUCAGUGGCUGUGUGGGUUUCCAUGCUCUCUCAGAACUCCAUCACUGUCCUGUGAACAAAUCCAGGCUAGCCUGCAGGAGUGAGACACCAUAUGAAGAGAUCCCAGUUAUCACAGCUGAGGCCAUCCUAGACUUGUUUGCAGCCAGUUGAUUCUGGAGAACGUGAGAAGGACCAGCCAAGGUCAUCAGAGCCACGUUUGCCACACCCACAGCUAACUGAAGCUAUGUGCCUGGGCCCAGCUGUGACCAGAACUGCUCAGCUAACCUGGAGACUCAUAAGCAAUAAAGGAUACUUUUGGGUCUAUAAUCCACUGAAAUUUGGUUGGCUUGUUACACAGCAAUAGCUAACUGAUACAGGACAGCAGUGGUAGAUUUAGA